GCGCAGCAGGCGCGAAACUUUACAAUGUGCGAAAGCACGAUAAGGGAACUCUGAGUGCCUCCUAAGGAGGCUGUUCAGGUGUCUAAAAGUACCUGAAGGAAGGGCUGGGUAAGACCGGUGCCAGCCGCCGCGGUAACACCGGCAGCCCAAGUGGUAGCCACGUUUAUUGGGGUCUAAAGCGUCCGUAGCCGGCUGGGUAAGUUCCUUGGGAAAUUUGGCUGCUUAACAGUCAAGCUUUCAGGGAAUACUGCCCGGCUU
This 258-nucleotide ribosomal RNA is filed under the name uncultured microorganism. RNAcentral's name for it is "partial 16S ribosomal RNA". It matches the Rfam family "Archaeal small subunit ribosomal RNA", at positions 330 to 594 of the family's 1478-position model. The record is from RNAcentral.